RNAcentral lists this transfer RNA (84 nucleotides) under Bacteroidales bacterium. Its description in RNAcentral is "tRNA-Leu". It matches the Rfam family "tRNA". From Rfam's summary of the family: Transfer RNA (tRNA) molecules are approximately 80 nucleotides in length. Their secondary structure includes four short double-helical elements and three loops (D, anti-codon, and T loops). The record is from RNAcentral. Lineage: Bacteria; Pseudomonadati; Bacteroidota; Bacteroidia; Bacteroidales.
GCUGGAGUGGCGGAAUCGGUAGACGCGCUGGACUCAAAAUCCAGUGAUAGCAAUGUCGUGAGGGUUCGAUUCCCUCCUUCAGUA